This is a non-coding RNA of Phalacrocorax carbo (great cormorant), 613 nucleotides long. The record is from RefSeq and is a predicted model, not a curated record. Lineage: Eukaryota; Metazoa; Chordata; Aves; Suliformes; Phalacrocoracidae.
UAAUAAAUAAUCGCUUAUUCACUGUUUUAGUGAGCUCAGGAGAACAGCUACCGUAGUGGACAGACAUUGUUCCUUUUCUAUGCGAGUCCUCUAAAACCACGUGCUACGCUUUUUACUGGGGAGAGGCUGGAAUGGAGAAUGAAGUGUUCGAUCUCCACAUCUCAGCACAGAGCACAGGCUCCUCAUUCCUUCUGAGGGCAAAGCCUUGGACAGGAAAAAUAAAUGUGAGGCAAAGUCUUUUCUUCCUGUUGAAGGACCAAUGCCAAAAGGAACGGAGCAUUUCCACUGAAGUGAAUGGAAGCUGCCGGAGGCAUGCACCAACCCGUAUACUACAGCUGAACUCCUGUUUCAUGAUCUAGUUAUAUGAAGAGAAAUCCUGACUUGUGUUAGAAAGGAGUAAUUCUCUGAGGAGAAAGAAAUGAGAUGCUUUCUUGGCAAAGAGGACCUAGGGCCUAUUUUGAGCCUUUACUUGUCAAGAAGAUAAAUUCAUGUCACUGAGAAGAGAUAUGAGUAUCAUCCAGCAGUCACAACUUUGUAAGUACAAAGACCUGAAAGAUGUCUUUUCCAAAGCAUGAUGAUGGAGUUGCUACUAUGGAAGGCGAAUAAAAAAUGA